GGCUCUGUAGUUCAACGGAUAGAAUAUGAGUUUCCGAAACUCAGGAUGAAGGUUCGAUCCCUUCCGGAGCUA
Molecule: transfer RNA, 72 nt
Filed under: Chitinophagales bacterium
Lineage: Bacteria; Pseudomonadati; Bacteroidota; Chitinophagia; Chitinophagales
Description: tRNA-Arg
Rfam family: tRNA
About the family: Transfer RNA (tRNA) molecules are approximately 80 nucleotides in length.
Source: RNAcentral